RNAcentral lists this ribosomal RNA (253 nucleotides) under uncultured bacterium. Its description in RNAcentral is "partial 16S ribosomal RNA". It matches the Rfam family "Bacterial small subunit ribosomal RNA", at positions 524 to 776 of the family's 1533-position model. The record is from RNAcentral.
UACAGAGGGUGCAAGCGUUAAUCGGAUUUACUGGGCGUAAAGCGCGCGUAGGUGGCCAAUUAAGUCAAAUGUGAAAUCCCCGAGCUUAACUUGGGAAUUGCAUUCGAUACUGGUUGGCUAGAGUAUGGGAGAGGAUGGUAGAAUUCCAGGUGUAGCGGUGAAAUGCGUAGAGAUCUGGAGGAAUACCGAUGGCGAAGGCAGCCAUCUGGCCUAAUACUGACGGUCAGGGACGAAAGCUGGGGGAGCAAACCGG